AUGGAUUUUUUGGUUCAGAUUUCCACCUUGCUUCUGAUCUAUGUCACAGUGUCAAAGGGAGAAAUUGUGCUCACCCAGUCUCCAGCAUCCAUUACUGCGUCUCGAGGAGAGAAGGUCACCAUCACCUGCCGUGCCAGCUCAAGUAUAAGUUCCAAUUACUUGCACUGGUACCAGCAGAAGGCAGGAUCCUUCCCUAAACUCUUGAUUUAUCGGACAUCCAUCCUGGCUUCUGGAUUCCCAGACAGCUUCAGUGGCAGUGGGUCUGAUACCUCUUACACUCUGACAAUCAGCUGCAUGCAGGAUGAAGUUGCUGCCUCUUACUACUGUCAGCAGGGGAGUAGUAGCCCACCACACAGUACCACAGACUGGGACAAAAUGCUUUAUCUACCAGCUGCUUCCUCCUAG
This is a non-coding RNA of Rattus rattus (black rat), 405 nucleotides long. The record is from the annotation of a RefSeq genome assembly. NCBI's taxonomy places the organism in Eukaryota, Metazoa, Chordata, Mammalia, Rodentia, Muridae.